UUACGGCCAUAGAAUAUUGAAAUAUCGGUUCCGAUCCGAUCACCGAAUUUAAGCAGCAUUGAAUCAAGACAGUACUGUACCUAGAUGGUUGACCGCUUGGGAAUACCAUGUGCUGUAAG
Molecule: non-coding RNA, 119 nt
Organism: Acanthosepion pharaonis
Lineage: Eukaryota; Metazoa; Mollusca; Cephalopoda; Sepiida; Sepiidae
Source: the annotation of a GenBank genome assembly